AGGAAAGGAAAAGGUGGAAAGAGAGAGAAAAACAGGGAAAAAAGGAAAGGAAAAGGUGGAAAGAGAGAGAAAAACAGGGAAAAAGGAAAGGAAAAGGUGGAAAGAGAGAGAAAAACAGGGAAAAAGGAAAGGAAAAGGUGGAAAGAGAGAGAAAAACAGGGAAAAAGGAAAGGAAAAGGUGGAAAGAGAGAGAAAAACAGGGAAAAAGGAAAGGAAAAGGUGGAAAGAGAGAGA
This is a long non-coding RNA of Myiozetetes cayanensis, 234 nucleotides long. RefSeq lists it as uncharacterized. The record is from RefSeq and is a predicted model, not a curated record. The transcript is spliced from 3 exons. NCBI's taxonomy places the organism in Eukaryota, Metazoa, Chordata, Aves, Passeriformes, Tyrannidae.